This 424-nucleotide ribosomal RNA is filed under the name uncultured bacterium. RNAcentral's name for it is "partial 16S ribosomal RNA". It matches the Rfam family "Bacterial small subunit ribosomal RNA", at positions 359 to 776 of the family's 1533-position model. The record is from RNAcentral.
UAUAUUGGACAAUGGGCGGAAGCCUGUUCCAGCCAUGCCGCGCGUGUGAAGAAGGUCUUCGGAUUGUAAAGCACUUUAAUUUGGGCGGAAGGGUCUGCACCUAAUAUGCUUGAACUUUCACUUUACCAAAAGAAUAAGCCUAGGCUAACUUCGUGCCAUGACCCGCGGUAAUACGAAGGGGGCAAUCGGUAAGCGGAAUUAAUAGGCGUAAAGCGCGCGUAGGUUGUUUGUUAAGUUGGAAGUGAAAGCCCCGGGCUCAACCUGGGAACUGCUUUCAAAACUGGCAAGCUAGAGUAUGGCAGAGGGUGGUGGAAUUUCCUGUGUAGCGGUGAAAUGCGUAGAUAUAGGAAGGAACACCAGUGGCGAAGGCGACCACCUGGGCUAAUACUGACACUGAGGUGCGAAAGCGUGGGGAGCAAACAGG